UGCUCCCUAUUGCCUUUGCCUUGGCUGUACAAGUUGGUGUGGAGGAUAUAAGGGUCGCCGCUCAAGUUCCCCAAGAACUCCAAGUCUAUCUCGUCCCAGGUCGACCCGUCCGAAUGUAACUGCGUAACAAGAAUGACAUCAAUCGCGUUAGCACUGUUCAUCGAAAUCCCUUUUGGCUACUUACAUAUUGAUCCAAGAUGGAUUUUUAGUUAAGCGAGUCAAUCGUGCUCAUGAGCUAGAAUCUUUAUGGUAUAAGACUUGCGUUUCUCUAGAACGAAAUUGAAUGAGUUUCUCGCGUCAAUAUAGCAAAAAACGAGCUUAAAUAAUGAUUUCUUUCUUUUUUGUCUUUUCCAAACUGUACGAAAAGGAUGGUCGAACUUACGUAUAAGGUGGUGACAGUGCCCGCGGAGUUGCCGGGGACGAGCUUGAUUUGCGUGUCGAAUUUGCCAUAGAGGUACUGGUUCUUGGACUUGAAGCCGGAGCCAGAGG
This 489-nucleotide long non-coding RNA is filed under the name Eucalyptus grandis. Its description in RNAcentral is "long non-coding RNA (EGRA_LNC001209)". Lineage: Eukaryota; Viridiplantae; Streptophyta; Magnoliopsida; Myrtales; Myrtaceae. The record is from RNAcentral.